Sinocyclocheilus anshuiensis is the source of this 665-nucleotide long non-coding RNA. RefSeq lists it as uncharacterized. The transcript has 4 exons. The record is from RefSeq and is a predicted model, not a curated record. NCBI's taxonomy places the organism in Eukaryota, Metazoa, Chordata, Actinopteri, Cypriniformes, Cyprinidae.
UCUUGUGAUUACUUUCUAUUACACUUAGUGUAUGCUGUAGAAAAAAACACUGCUGUUGAGGGCGUGUUGCCCCCUUGUGUCUGAAUAAUGUCACCAAACUGGUGAAAAGUUGUGUUAUUCUGCCAUCUACCGGUAGAAAACCAAACAGCUCAUUUCCCGAACACAACCGUGAAAGUAUAAGUGCACUGCAAGCUGCAGAGAAACACAAGAUAAUGAUUAUCCAGCAUUCUUUUGACCGAGGUGAAGCAGAGACAAAGCUCGGCUCGAUCAGGACGACGUCUUGGCUAAACCCCCGCCGUGCCUCCCCAGAAUGCCCACAGCCAAUCAAUAUAACUGCAGUUGGAGCUACAGUUCGUCAACCCAGGCCUUUUAAAAUUCUCAGUUCUGAAAGCCGGCUAAUGUCCUUCACCCACCACACUUCCACUUUGUCGUCACUUGAGUAGCUGAUGUGAGGUAUUUUCUUCCUCGUCGAAGAACCACAGAAUCCAGCGAGACAAUUGGAUUGCAAUGGACUAAUAGUCAACUUUUCUGAAUACAUCUGCGCAAGUUUUUAUUUGGUGAAAAGGAGUCAAAUUGAACAAUUUUACACCCAGUUUGGAUAUGGAGUUAUGUGUUUUGAUAUUAAGCUUUUUUUGUCAAGUAUUCUAUAACGUUCUGUAAAUUUC